GGUGGCUCAGUGGUAGAGUGCUUGCCUCGCAAACAUGAGGUCCUGGGUUCGAUUCCUCAGUACCA
RNAcentral lists this transfer RNA (65 nucleotides) under Dipodomys ordii (Ord's kangaroo rat). It matches the Rfam family "tRNA". From Rfam's summary of the family: Transfer RNA (tRNA) molecules are approximately 80 nucleotides in length. Their secondary structure includes four short double-helical elements and three loops (D, anti-codon, and T loops). The record is from Rfam by way of RNAcentral. Lineage: Eukaryota; Metazoa; Chordata; Mammalia; Rodentia; Heteromyidae.